GCGUCCAUGGAGUAGUAGUCAACUCGUUCCCCUCGCAUAAAUCGGGCACGGGAAAGACCCGGGUGCAAGUCCCGGUGGGUGCU
This 83-nucleotide transfer RNA is filed under the name Annulohypoxylon truncatum. RNAcentral describes it as "tRNA-Ala". The record is from RNAcentral. Lineage: Eukaryota; Fungi; Ascomycota; Sordariomycetes; Xylariales; Hypoxylaceae.